GAGGCGGCGUCCAGGGGAGGUGAGGCAGUGCGAGAACGGAGUUCGGGGUGGGGACUGUGUGACGAGAAGACGAACGCACGUGGGUAUGCGGCCGGCUUCUGCUCCUACUCCUACUCCAGGCUGACUUCUUUCUAACUGUCAUCUUCAAAUGAGAAGCAUUGUUUAAAAAGAACUGGGAAGAAAAUCUACUUGGAUUCCAGUCCUGGCUCUGAAUCUGUGUACUGUGUCCUUCGAGGGGAAGGGGGAGAGACGUCCAUGUGAGAGAGAAUCAUCGAUCAUCGAUUGGUUGCUGCUUAUACGCACCAGACCUGGGACCGAACGCACAACCCAGGCUUGGGCCCCAACCAGAAUCGAACCAGCGACCUUUCGCUUCACGGGAAGUGAUGCGCAAUCCACUGAGCCACACAGGUCAGGGCCGGUUCCAAAGCUUCUUGACGGACCUGUUAGGUUCACCUUCUGUCUUCAACCACCUGUGCAACACCCCCCCCCCCAACUUCUCUAUCACUGUCAUUUGUCCAGUUACUUGGGCUGAAACCCUUGGGGAAGACUUGUUACUCUUUUUCUCCAUUUAUAUCUAUUCAGCCAUUGGGUUUCAUUGAUUUUUUUUUAUUUAAAAGGCCUCCUCUGCAAUGAUAAGCAGUUGGACCUGCUUUAAAAUAUUUAAGCAGAAAUGGAGAGAAAGGAUAAGUAGCCAUGUAAAAUCUUUGAAUCUGGGUAGUGGUAUAUGGGAGUUCAUUAUAGUAUUCUCUUUAUUUUUGUGGAUGUUUGAAAUGGGAAAGAUUUGGGGGGGGGAGGCUUUUUAAAUGGAUGCCUAGCCAUCAUUAGUUCUGUCAUUCCCUUGCUGUCUCCUUAAUCUGAGUCCUUCAGGCUGACCCUGGGCCCCUUUCUAACCUUGUGUCACCUUCCCCAAUGUUAUUUUUAUCAUGCUGCUUCCUCGCUCAGAAACCGCUAAUACUCCCCGUAGGUCUCACAGCAGCCCCAGAUUGCACUGCGAGAUUUUCGGGUGCACCCAUGAGUUGGGGCUAGACAUCUGAUUUCCCAGACAUCUGAUUUCAUACUAGUCUCCCCACAAGUCUCUUCUGGGCUCUACAAAUUUCUUUCAUUUAGAAAGCUCUUUUCCCCCUCCUUUGCCCAGUCAAAUCUGAGCUGGUCCCAAGCUUUACCUUACCCAUAAAAGCUCCCAAUUUCUCCAAUCUUUACUAAAUCUGUUUCUCUAAACUCGUAAAGCAUGUCUAUCAAGGACCACCCAAUUCAAUAAUCAUGUGUGGAGUUGUUUGUCGUUGAACAUGUUAUUUUUGGGUCACCCUCAAGCAGAUUACAAAGUUCUCAAAUAUAAAGUAGACCAGGUUUUAUACUCAGGUUAUGAUCCCUCCA
This is a long non-coding RNA of Artibeus jamaicensis (Jamaican fruit-eating bat), 1374 nucleotides long. RefSeq lists it as uncharacterized. The transcript has 3 exons. The record is from RefSeq and is a predicted model, not a curated record. Lineage: Eukaryota; Metazoa; Chordata; Mammalia; Chiroptera; Phyllostomidae.